CGGGCAUUAGUUCAGUUGGUUAGAGCGCCACUCUGAUAAGGUGGAAGUCCUUGGUUCGAGUCCAAGAUGCCCGACCA
Molecule: transfer RNA, 77 nt
Filed under: Lachnospiraceae bacterium
Lineage: Bacteria; Bacillati; Bacillota; Clostridia; Lachnospirales; Lachnospiraceae
Description: tRNA-Ile
Rfam family: tRNA
About the family: Transfer RNA (tRNA) molecules are approximately 80 nucleotides in length. Their secondary structure includes four short double-helical elements and three loops (D, anti-codon, and T loops).
Source: RNAcentral